UACGUAGGUGGCGAGCGUUGUCCGGAUUUAUUGGGCGUAAAGCGCCCGCAGGCGGCUUGAUAAGUUUCAGGUGAAAUCUCCUGGCUUAACUGGGAGGGGUCCUGGAAAACUGUCAGGCUUGAGGCAGGGAGAGGGAUGUGGAAUUCCCGGUGUAGUAGUGAAAUGCGUAGAUAUCUGGAGGAACACCGGUGGCGAAGGCGACAUCCUGGACCGGUAUUGACGCUGAGGCGCGAAAGCCAGGGGAGCAAACGGG
RNAcentral lists this ribosomal RNA (253 nucleotides) under uncultured bacterium. RNAcentral describes it as "partial 16S ribosomal RNA". It matches the Rfam family "Bacterial small subunit ribosomal RNA", at positions 524 to 776 of the family's 1533-position model. The record is from RNAcentral.